RNAcentral lists this unclassified non-coding RNA (3580 nucleotides) under Hevea brasiliensis (rubber tree). The record is from RNAcentral. Lineage: Eukaryota; Viridiplantae; Streptophyta; Magnoliopsida; Malpighiales; Euphorbiaceae.
UGCUGAAAUAGAAGUUGCUAUUAGUAUUAGAAACAAUCCUGUCCAUAUGCAACAAACAUCAAAAUGCAAUGGACUUGAUAAAUUACAUAUCAUUUGUGGUGGAAGAAUAGGUUGCAGAAAAUAGGCUCCAUUUAAAACAUCAACCUCAGAUCGCCUCCUACAAACUACCAUGCACUUUCCAGAAAUUACACAGUAACCUGUUUUGCCUUCUAGAGUAACUCAACCUGCUAGAUUGCCUCCUUCAAACUUUUGCUUAUUACAUGAACGCUUGCAAUACUAGUGCCACUGGAUUGAAACAAUAACUUAAACUGAAGAAAAAAAAAAAUCCUGACUUUUGUCAAAUUUGCAGAGUGCUAUGGUCUAACUCUCAAGUUUUUCCAAACAUAGCAUGCUAAGGAAUAGCAUCACUAAUGAAAAUGCUAAUGAAUUUUCAUGGAACAGUAUCGAUUUCUAUAAAAGAAGAAGAAAAGAAGCUAAGAAUACAUAAAACUCAUUUAUCAGAAAAUCAACUAACCAUUGUCUACUUUUAGUAUCUAAUUCCUUUAGCAACCUCAAAAAAAUGAGCAACAUUCUCCUCUGGUGUGCCUACUACAAUUCCAUGACCAAGAUUCAAUAUGUGUUUCCCUUUACCAGCUUUUCUCACAACAUCAUUUAUCCGAUUAGUGAUAAACUCCUUUGAGCCAAAAAGGACUCCAGGAUCUACAUUUCCCUGAACUGCCAUAUCAGGUCCCAAUCGCCUCCUACCUUCAGCCAUAUCCACUGUCCAAUCCAAGCUAACUACAUCCACACCUGUCAAAGCUAACCUCUCAAGCAAGCCCCCAGAUCCACUUGCAUAGAGGAUUAGAGGGAGAUUUGGAUGUGUUUUUCUCACAGUAUCCACAAUCUGCUUCAGGUAUGGAAGACUGAACUCUUCAAAAUCAACAGGGCUAAGCUCUGUGGCCCAUGAGUCAAAGAUUUGAACAGCUUGAGCCCCAUUGUCAGCUUGAUAUUGAAUGUAUUUUGCCAUUGAGAUUGCCAAUUUCUGAAGCAAUGCAUGAAGUACCUUAGGCUGAGAGAAAGCUAAUCUUUUUAUUUUUGAAAAGUGCUUUGAUGAGCCACCUUCAACAACAUAUGAUGCCAGGGUAAAAGGAGCCCCAACAAAACCAAGCACUGCAGCCUUAUUAUCUACCUGAAGAAAAGAAGAAGAGUGUGAACUUGCUCAGAAUUUUAUUGGCUGCGAUAAAACAAUAGAAAAUCCCGGAACAAUCAUUGGUUUCAUUAGAUUUAUCAAGAAAGAGCUCCCUCUUUUAAUAUGCCAAAAUCUUUGGAUAAAGAGUAAAAAAAAUAUGCAACUGUUCAUUUAGAAAUUAAAAUUAUAUCCCACACAGAAAGAAUUUUUUUCACGGUGAGAAGUGAGAACUAUAAAAUGUGUUCAAGCAAUCUUGUUAAAAAAAAAAGAAAAUUCAUUCAGACUGGCCCCCAUGCAAGGUUGUUUUCAUUCAGUUCUAUGAUUCCAAGUUUUUAGUACCAAAGGUGUUAGUUUGAUUCUACUGCAAGUAAUCAUGCACAGCCUGGACCACAAAGACACGGAAAAGAAUUUCUCUCAAACUUUAAAGGUAUAAUCUACAACUUGCUCCUUCCUAGGAAAUUCAAAUGCAUCCAUCACAAUAAAUAAACUGCAUUUUGCAAUGCAGCUGGUGGCUAACUGGAGCAUAAGGAGGCUUAAUCUAUGAAGAAAACAACUGAAUAAAACGAAAACAAUUUAACUUUCAAAGUUGAAAAUCAAAAGAGAAGCACGCUAAGCUGGACCUCUUUUCGAAGGAUUGUCAAUGAUUCUCCAACGUAUGGAACUGACUCCUCAGGAAAAAAUUCUCUUACUUGAUCAACAUCUGCAGCAGUGCGUAAAGGAUUGAAUAUAACAGGGCCUUUACCUUUCACAAUGUCAAAAGGUAUAUUCAUCCCAGAAAGUGGAGUAAGAAUGUCUGAGAAUAAAAUGACCCCAUCUGGCUUAAAAACAUUCCAAGGCUGCAGAGAAAUUUCCACUACAAGAUCAACAUUUUCUGAUCUUUCACGAAAUGAAGGAUACUUCUCACAAAUGAUUUGGUAACUCUGUAGUUAAAAAGAAUGAGAUCCAAGUUAACUACAGUAUAUAGGCUUAGCUAAAAUGAUCAAACACAUUAAAGAUGUGCUCUUACUGAUGGAUAAAAGAGUAGAAAAAAUAACAUGAUAUAACAAAAACUCUCUGAUCUAUAUGAUAUGGUAAGGCAGAACAAUAUGCCUCACGGUAUGAUAAGGGAAAGAUGAUGUUAUAGCCAAGCAUACUAUAAAUCUGGUGUAUACCUAGUUCUCAAAAGCUAUUCCAUUUCUAGACAGCCACAUUAUCGUCAUAUUGAGAUACUAAGUUAAUAAGCAGGCACUAUAAAACAAAAUUACUGCACAAUUAUGCACAAUAAUCAGCAGAAGGCACAAUAUAUAUGAAUGUAGAAUCUCUAAAAUCACAAUUAUGCACGAUCAAUCAUCAAACUAGAAAGGCGAAAGCAAUAAAAAGUAUAAGCCUUAAGCAUGGAAAAUUACAACAGUAGAAAAGCAUAUGAAAACUAAAGCUGCAUAGACCUGCCUUCAUGUACCUCCCUGCUUGCCUCAUAAGCCAAACUGGGGGUCUUUCAACAUUUUCUCCUCUGACAGCAUUAAGCAACAAGGGUUCAGCCACGGAAGCAGUCUUUGGUUCCGCCACCGUCCCUGGAAGGGAGCAGAGGACAAUUGGAGGCUUAGGUAUUGAUUUUCUUGGAGAAGAGGGGAGAGCAGAGAAAGAAGAGAUUGAGUUAAUGCUACAAAUGCAAGACAUUGAUGCUGAUAUUGGGGUAAACCCAGUUUUGAUUUAGAAUGAAAGCUUCAAACUUUGGAUUUAAGCUGCUGCGGAAGCUUUUCUCUCUUCUCUGCCCAGGCUGUAAAAGGGGUCCUUUGACAGACAGAGAGAUGGAUAAGGGUAUCUAAUUGCCUGUUUUCUUUUGCCAUGUCAGCCUUUGGCCUUGUUUGAAAAGAUUGUUGGAGUUGGAUUCUUAAAGUGCAAUUUUUUAUUAAGACCUUGAAAGAAUGAUUCGCCUAGUCAUAUAAAAAUUGAAUUUACAUUAAUUAUAUCCACAAAAUAAUAAGAAAUUUAAUAAUUAAAUAAACAAAACACACAAAAAUCCACUUAAAAAUUUAUUUACAGAAUUUGACACUUAAUAAGCAUUUACUUAUAAAAAUUUACAAUUUAAUCAUUAUCCUUAAUAAAAUAAUAAUUGAGCUUGGUUUUUUCAAUCUGUAUGUACUAUUACACAACCAAUAUUAAAAGGCCUUCACAGAUAAGGUCAUCAGAGGAAAACUUCAAUUGUCAACGUUAUCCAUAGAAUCCAUUAAAGUGCAACUACUAGAUAGUGUUUAACUUCCAACAAUCUCCACUCGAUUAUGCCCAAUAUUGUCACAGUCUCAGGAAAAGUAAGAAGAAGAAAGAGGAGGGGAACUCCGUAAUAAUUCUAAUUUCCAAAAUGAUCAAAAUAAUGUACAUAACCUCUGAUAUCAAUCAGAUAAUCACAUGAUAUAAGAACUACAAACAUUGUAU